GUCCCGUCCACAGUGCGUCAGUAGCCGUAAAUACGUCAACAGCCAUCUUUGAAUUUUAGGGUAUGUGUGUAAAGAUGCUAUUUCCGAUAAGCCUGAGCCUGUGAUUUCAAGAUGAGAUAUUUCAGUUCAGACAGAUUUGCAAAAACGUCGCUUAUCCCGGGCUAUAUGCAAAAGGCGGCCUGGCCUCUAUCAGCUAUGAGUGCUGACUCAUCUUAUCUAAUCUUAUCUGAUGAGAUAAGGCAUUCAGUUGUCUUCAUCAUCAUCUGCUAAUUCAACAUCAUGGAUUAUCUACAGUGUUUAAGGACUUUUUCUCCACAGUAAAAGCUUGGAAAAUCGUGAAUUUUUGAGAGAUGCACAUUUUGUAGUGAAACAACUAUUUUCCUCACCUGCUCCAGUCACUACAUUCCUGUCUUGUUUCGUCUUAAGUUAAAUCUCACUAGUUGUAACC
This 448-nucleotide long non-coding RNA is filed under the name Penaeus japonicus. Its description in RNAcentral is "uncharacterized LOC122261678". Lineage: Eukaryota; Metazoa; Arthropoda; Malacostraca; Decapoda; Penaeidae. The record is from RNAcentral.